This 348-nucleotide ribosomal RNA is filed under the name uncultured soil bacterium. RNAcentral describes it as "bacterial SSU rRNA". It matches the Rfam family "Bacterial small subunit ribosomal RNA", at positions 26 to 373 of the family's 1533-position model. The record is from RNAcentral.
AGAUUGAACGCUGGCGGCAUGCUUUACACAUGCAAGUCGAACGGUAACAGGCCGCAAGGUGCUGACGAGUGGCGAACGGGUGAGUAAUGUAUCGGAACGUGCCCAGUCGUGGGGGAUAACGCAGCGAAAGCUGCGCUAAUACCGCAUACGAUCUAUGGAUGAAAGGCGGGGGACCGUAAGGCCUCGCGCGAUUGGAGCGGCCGAUAUCAGAUUAGGUAGUUGGUGGGGUAAAGGCUCGACCAAGCCAACGAUCUGUAGCUGGUCUGAGAGGACGACCAGCCACACUGGGACUGAGACCACGGCCAGACUACCGUACGGGAGCGAGCGAGGUGGGAAUUUUGGACAAGU